AAUAUCCUUCAGGGCAGGGUGAAAUUCCCGACCGGCGGUUAUAGUCCGCGAGCCGAUUAGGCAGACUUGGUGUAAUUCCAAGACCGACAGUACAGUCUGGAUGGAAGAAGGAGAAG
RNAcentral lists this non-coding RNA (116 nucleotides) under Geosporobacter ferrireducens. Its description in RNAcentral is "FMN sequence". It matches the Rfam family "FMN riboswitch aptamer (RFN element)". From Rfam's summary of the family: The RFN element is a highly conserved domain that is found frequently in the 5'-untranslated regions of prokaryotic mRNAs that encode for flavin mononucleotide (FMN) biosynthesis and transport proteins. This element is a metabolite-dependent riboswitch that directly binds FMN in the absence of proteins. In Bacillus subtilis, the riboswitch most likely controls gene expression by causing premature transcription termination within the 5' untranslated region of the ribDEAHT operon and precluding access to the ribosome-binding site of ypaA mRNA. The record is from Rfam by way of RNAcentral. Lineage: Bacteria; Bacillati; Bacillota; Clostridia; Peptostreptococcales; Thermotaleaceae.